RNAcentral lists this small RNA (631 nucleotides) under Rattus norvegicus (Norway rat). RNAcentral's name for it is "uncharacterized LOC102547940". Lineage: Eukaryota; Metazoa; Chordata; Mammalia; Rodentia; Muridae. The record is from RNAcentral.
AGUCCUGGUACAUGAGCACAGAUCUUGGCUCUCUCCUAUUUCUUAACCUCCUCUUUGGUAGUUCUCAAAGUAUGACAAACAGACCAGGGUGCUAGAGGUACAUUCGCUGAUACACAGACCAGCAGACCAGGGUACAAGAGAUGACAUUAGCUGAUACACGGACCAGCAGGGCAUUAAACAGCAUGGACUGGAACGUGAACUGUGACAGAACUAUUCCUUGAAGAUUAAAUCAAAGAGAAGUAGGAGAACCUGAUCUGUCUGUUAUGAGCUGUAGCCCUGAAGAAGACAAGAAGAGAUGACUGAGCAAGAAAGUCACAGCAGCUUGCGUUGGAAACACCAGCUUCAGCAAUGCUGUGGAAGACAGGCCUGAGGUCUCGCCAUCUCCUCGGUGGGCUGGGGCUUUAAGAAGAGCUGACCUGAUGGCGCCCAAGGGCUGUGAGGAGUGGGAAUAAGGCAGAGAGCGAAAACAAAUGGGUUCAGAAGGCCAAGCCAGUGGGACCUGAAGCUAAACAAAUGAGCCUGCAAAGGAACCUCCAUGGCAGAGUGAAAAUUACAGCAGUGGUGUCAGCUGUGGCUUGAAAAGCUGCCUAAAGAAUCAGGUAUCCUUGUCACCACCACCUCCCCCCAAAAG